AACCAUAGAAACCUGCGGAGUACCUGCGGAAGGAUCAUUACCGAGUGUGGCCCCAUUUUUAAAACAAAUAGGGGUACCUCCCGUCCUUUGCAGGGCCCUUUGGGGCUUUUUGAACUUUGCUUCGGCGGGUUUUAUCCCGCCGGAACACCCUCAAGAAAAUCUUUUUAAAAAUACUGUCGUCUGAGCAUUUACAAAAUAAAACAAAACUUUCAGCAACGGAUCUCAGAUCGGAAGAGCACA
RNAcentral lists this unclassified non-coding RNA (240 nucleotides) under soil metagenome. RNAcentral's name for it is "partial contains 5.8S ribosomal RNA, internal transcribed spacer 2, and large subunit ribosomal RNA". The record is from RNAcentral.